Molecule: long non-coding RNA, 299 nt
Filed under: Homo sapiens (human)
Lineage: Eukaryota; Metazoa; Chordata; Mammalia; Primates; Hominidae
Description: non-protein coding lnc-CSRNP3-11:1
Source: RNAcentral
CCCAGUUCCCCUUCCUAGAGGCAACUACUACUACUUAUCUCCCAUAUAUAUUUCCAGGAGUGAUGGUGAGGAGGAAUUGUGCCAGCUUGCUUCUUCACUGCCAUUUUGGAACCAGAACUCAGAACCUGAGAAAGAUGAAUGAAAUUUAGUGUUUCCCAUCCCCGAGAGACACCCAGCAUCCACAACUUCACACUCUGAUGCCAUUGUGUAUUUAUGCAAGAAAUACCAUAACUAAGGUAAUGUCUUGAGAUUUUUUGGUUCAAUAAUGUCCUUAAAUUCUAUGUUGUUUUUAAAGCCUA